RNAcentral lists this long non-coding RNA (1553 nucleotides) under Homo sapiens (human). RNAcentral's name for it is "uncharacterized LOC105371756, transcript variant 2 (LOC105371756)". The record is from RNAcentral. Lineage: Eukaryota; Metazoa; Chordata; Mammalia; Primates; Hominidae.
UUCUCUAGGCACUGCAGUAUAAGUGUAGGAAGUGAGGGAGUAAGGGUGGCAGGAUGGAGUGGGCUUUGUGGAAAGUUAGAAAAGACUUUAUAGAGAAGACAAAGCUGGCAUAGCCUUAACAAAUAAAGUGUUGACCAAUUAGAAAACACAGGUAAAAGUAUUUAAGUAGAGAGGAGAGCAGCGCAACAAAUGUAAAGAGGGAUGAAACACGCUGUUGUGUUUGGGGAACUACUAGUGGCUCAACAAAGCUGGAAGUGGAUGCUGCAGCAAGAAUUGGAGCUGGACAGGACAGAAUUGAAGUAAAUAGCGCAAGGACCAAUGCUGACCUCACGGUGGCACUCCAGUCUUCGAAUAAAGGGCUCUCUGGACUCAUCUUAUUGACCUCCAAAUGGACAGUCCACAUUGAAGUGAAGAGUUGACAUGAACUCUGGGCCCAUAGACCCCACAGUUUAAUUUCCUGAAGAGAAUCUACCAAGGACUUUGCUUUUCUGUUUUUAAAUCAGCUCUGACGUAAGGCUGGAUCAAUAGAAUAGGUGUCAAGUAUGCCCGAAUGUCUCCAUCCGUAAAAAAUUUCAUCAGGGUUCAAAAGUAACCAAAAUAAUUUCACCAUUAUUAUUUAUUAAUGGAUACCAUUUAUUGAAUGCCUGCUAUGUGCCACAUUGGGUUCAGGGUACUUUUCAUAUUAUAUGAGCUCAUUGAACUCACAAUAGCUCUAUGAGGUUGAUACUACAGUGUUCUCAUUUUUCUGAGAAGAAACUAGGGCUCAGAGACAUUAAGUAGCUUGCCUCUCACAUCAUAUAGGUAGUAAGUGGCCAUACUUGGUUUUGAACCCAAUCUGUGUGAUCCCCAAACUUGCGCUCUUUAAACAAGGCUGCAUUGCCUCUUAUUAUUGAUGCCAAGAUAAAAGCAGCAAUUAAUGAAACUUGGUUUUCUUCAGGUAUAGACUGUUUGGCAUGAGGUGGUUUAAAUAAUAUCAUAUUUAAGGAGAUCUAUUGCGGGCCCCUAUUGUGAAUUUGUGUCCUCUUCAUGAAACUCUUUGCCACAUAUGAGAAACAGGAUAUUUACAUAGUCACAAAGUGUGUCCCACAAGGUAUUGAUUAGUUACGAAGAGAAAAAUUGAAAAUUUACAGUGGAGCAACCUGGAAGAUACCAUGUGAAUGAAAUGGUCACAGUAUAAAUGGUAACAUAAAAGUGGUAAAAUAUCAAUAUGUACACCAUGGUCAUAUUCUUUUGCUUUUAUUGUGGAAGAGACAAAGGGACAAGGGAGGAUUUGCUGACACUGGUCAGGAGUGGAGUAGAGGACUAAUUCCUAUCUUUGAUCUCCAUCUGUGAAAGCCCAGAUCGCACAAAGAUUUCCAAAUGAAAUAUUUACAUUUCUAAGGGGUAGAGAAUUAUUCGUGAAUCCUAGACAAUAUACAAGGGAAGGCUCCCAAAAGAAAGAUACAAAUAAUAAAAUUCUAGAAUAAUGUUAUAGUACUGAUUGUAGGCUAUGGGGAGUGGGAGUUGGUUGUCCUACUAAUAAAAUGCUUAAUCAAGAGUGUAUGAUUUGUAAA